Felis catus (domestic cat) is the source of this 775-nucleotide long non-coding RNA. RefSeq lists it as uncharacterized. The transcript has 3 exons. The record is from RefSeq and is a predicted model, not a curated record. Lineage: Eukaryota; Metazoa; Chordata; Mammalia; Carnivora; Felidae.
CUAAAAUUGUGCCCAGGGCUGAAAUCCUUGAAAAUAUGCAGUGUGUGACCCUGGGCACUCAUUUAAGACCCCGGGGCCUCAGCUUUCAUCUGUGAAAUGGAGAGGUUUCCUGUUUGUAGAGACUCGAAUUCUUCCACCAAAAACCUCUGGGCAUCAAUGUCAGAAGAAUGGGUACCAAUGACUGGACUGGACUGGAUAACAAAGCACAUGAUAUUUCUAAGACAAACCAGAAAAUUACUGUUGAAUUUUUAUUCAUCUUGAGAAGCAACACCUUUGCUAUAUAUCAGAAUCCUAAUGACCUCCAAAAAAGGCUUAGAGGCAGGAAAAUAAUUAAAAUUGUUAAAGCUCUAACAGAUCUUCGUAUUUGGAGCCUAAACAAAGACAAUGAGAAACAGUUUGACUUCGGCCACUGAUUUCAUAAAGGAAUUCACAGAUGAACAAUCAUCACAAUAGUCUAGAAGUGAAUAUCUUGCUUGGUACACGAAGUAAACAGAACAUUUGGGUUUGGACAACAGACGCUGAUCAAAUUACUCAAGUAUCAAAUUAUAGAGACAUAGGUGCUUUGAAUACUCUCAACCUGAAUUACUUUUAAAACACACUGCAGGAUAAUAAAAAGUUUGAAGGCUUACCUGGUGGCUCAGUAUGGCUCAACAAAUACACAAAUGGAUAUAUUGCCCAUGCAAUGCCCAAAUUAAAGUUUUUUUUUAAUGCUCAAAUUAAAGUUGAAUUCAAAGAUGAAUUAAUUGAUUUCUUUGCCCAAAUUAAAAUCCCAAUA